RNAcentral lists this ribosomal RNA (683 nucleotides) under Pandoraea apista. RNAcentral describes it as "bacterial LSU rRNA". It matches the Rfam family "Bacterial large subunit ribosomal RNA", at positions 2254 to 2925 of the family's 2925-position model. The record is from RNAcentral. Lineage: Bacteria; Pseudomonadati; Pseudomonadota; Betaproteobacteria; Burkholderiales; Burkholderiaceae.
GUGCAUGGUAGGCAGUUUGACUGGGGCGGUCUCCUCCCAAAGUGUAACGGAGGAGUACGAAGGUACGCUAGGUACGGUCGGAAAUCGUGCUGAUAGUGCAAUGGCAAAAGCGUGCUUAACUGCGAGACUGACAAGUCGAGCAGGUGCGAAAGCAGGUCAUAGUGAUCCGGUGGUUCUGUAUGGAAGGGCCAUCGCUCAACGGAUAAAAGGUACUCUGGGGAUAACAGGCUGAUACCGCCCAAGAGUUCAUAUCGACGGCGGUGUUUGGCACCUCGAUGUCGGCUCAUCUCAUCCUGGGGCUGUAGCCGGUCCCAAGGGUAUGGCUGUUCGCCAUUUAAAGAGGUACGUGAGCUGGGUUUAAAACGUCGUGAGACAGUUUGGUCCCUAUCUGCCGUGGGCGUUGGAAGUUUGAAGGGGGCUGCUCCUAGUACGAGAGGACCGGAGUGGACGAACCUCUGGUGUACCGGUUGUCACGCCAGUGGCAUCGCCGGGUAGCUAUGUUCGGAAGAGAUAACCGCUGAAAGCAUCUAAGCGGGAAACUCGCCUUAAGAUGAGACUUCCCUAGGAACUCGAUUCCUUUGAAGGGUCGUUCAAGACCAGGACGUUGAUAGGUCAGGUGUGGAAGCGCAGUAAUGCGUUAAGCUAACUGAUACUAAUUGCCCGUAAGGCUUGAUCCUAUAACC